RNAcentral lists this non-coding RNA (26 nucleotides) under Homo sapiens (human). Lineage: Eukaryota; Metazoa; Chordata; Mammalia; Primates; Hominidae. The record is from RNAcentral.
UGCUGUCAAAGUUGAAUGAAUUGGGC